GAUGAAGAACGUAGCGAAAUGCGAUAAGUAAUGUGAAUUGCAGAAUUCAGUGAAUCAUCGAAUCUUUGAACGCACCUUGCGCCUUUUGGUAUUCCGAAAGGCACACCUGUUUGAGCGUCAUGAAUACCUCAAUCUCCAUCUUUUCUUCGGAUUGAUGGGUGACUUGGAUGUUGAGCCCUGCUGGUAUGCUAUAUCAGCUGGCUUUAAACUUAUUAGCCGGCUCUGUACUGGAUCGGUUUGACUCGACGUGAUAAUAUUAUCGUUGAGGAUGCAUGUCUCAUGCAGCCGGAAAGUAUCAAAGCAGCUUCUAGCUUGCCUUUAGUGCACUUUUACAUUUUAGACCUCAGAUCAGGUGGGACUACCCGCUGAACUUAAGCAUAUCAUAAGCGGAGGA
Molecule: unclassified non-coding RNA, 394 nt
Filed under: soil metagenome
Description: partial contains 5.8S ribosomal RNA, internal transcribed spacer 2, and large subunit ribosomal RNA
Rfam family: 5.8S ribosomal RNA (bases 1-120)
Source: RNAcentral